GGAUGCAAAAGUCGUAACACGGUUUCCGUAGGUGAACCUGCGGAAGGAUCAUUCACACAUUCUGCUGCUCGCGGAGCUGGGGUUUUCUUUCGUCUCUGUCGCUUUUUGGGGCUGGAUGGAAGGAAACUUUGGUGCCGACGGGAUUGGCGGCUACUGAACAAUUGUUGACCAAUCUUUGAAUCGAUUGCUAUUCCUCCACGACGUUAUUUUGUAAAGAAGAGAUAUUGAAGAUAUUCAGCCUGUAUUUCAACGUGGAUAUGCAGGAAUGUGGGAUUUUAUGCUUGGGGGGGUGUCGGCAGCGGUUUGGGGCUGCAUGCGUUGUCGGCUGCGGUUCGGGGCUGCAUGCAGGAUCGGCAGCGGUGUGGGGCCGCCUUGCCCGGUCGGCAGCGGUCUGGGCGUGCCUUGCAUGGUCGGCCGCCGUCUGGGGCUGUCUUGAACUGUCGGCAGCGGUCUGGGGCUGCAUGCGUGCAUGCAGCCCCGUGCAUGCGACAUGCUGCAGUGAAACUGGACAUUUCCGACAGUGUUAUCCCUUCAGGCAUAUUUUUCCCGCGAGUUUUUUGUUUUCUAUAUGCAAAAAAACUUUCAGCAAUGGAUGUCUUGGCUCACGCAUCGAUGAAGGACGCAGCUAGAUGCGAUACGCAUUGUGAAUUGCAGAUUUUAGUGAACCAUCAGAUUUCUGAACGCAUAUGGCGCUUCUGGGAUUUUCCCCGUAGCACGUCUGUUUCAGUGUCUCUUGACCCCUUCAAAAAAUACACUGCCAUAAAAGCAUAAAACAAGGCCUUAUGUGUCUAGGGUUUUUUGCUUUUAUGGUGGUAUCGUUUGCAUGUCGCAGCAAAAUACAUUUGCAUGCGUCAUGUGAAGUUCUUUGUGGAUAUACUAUUAUUCACGUAUAAAAGCGGCACAGCUUAAUUCUAUCCUUUCGUUUACGAAAGAGAUACGGUGGUGUGUAACGACUCUUAUGGAGUUGUGUAUGCUACUAUUCUGUUAUCUCGGAUAAAAGUGAACGGAAGGCGGCAGGUUUUUGUAUGCCUGUUGGAGUUGUGUGUGUUUUGCUUUUAUAUAUAUGUGGGUAGUAUUUGUAUAUCGUUUUCCUUCCAUCAAUCGGAAUGAGUGAUGGUCUGGAUAUAUAAUUAAUUUGUUUUAGACCUGAAAUCAGUCGAGAUUACCCGCUGAAUUUAAGCAUAUUAUUAAGCGGAGGA
Molecule: small RNA, 1199 nt
Filed under: uncultured Eimeria
Lineage: Eukaryota; Apicomplexa; Conoidasida; Eucoccidiorida; Eimeriidae
Description: eukaryotic LSU rRNA
Rfam family: 5.8S ribosomal RNA (bases 578-732)
Source: RNAcentral